AUUGAACGCUGGCGGCAGGCCUAACACAUGCAAGUCGAGCGUGAAAGUUCCUUCGGGAGCGAGUAGAGCGGCGGACGGGUGAGUAACGCGUAGGAAUCUGCCCAGUAGUGGGGGACAACUCGAGGAAACUCGAGCUAAUACCGCAUACGCCCUAAGGGGGAAAGCAGGGGAUCUUCGGACCUUGUGCUAUUGGAUGAGCCUGCGUCGGAUUAGCUAGUUGGUGGGGUAAUGGCCUACCAAGGCAACGAUCCGUAGCUGGUCUGAGAGGAUGAUCAGCCACACUGGGACUGAGACACGGCCCAGACUCCUACGGGAGGCAGCAGUGGGGAAUAUUGGACAAUGGGGGCAACCCUGAUCCAGCCAUGCCGCGUGUGUGAAGAAGGCCUUCGGGUUGUAAAGCACUUUCAGCAGGGAGGAAAAGCUAAUGGCUAAUAACCAUUAGCCCUGACGUUACCUGCAGAAGAAGCACCGGCAAACUCCGUGCCAGCAGCCGCGGUAAUACGGAGGGUGCGAGCGUUAAUCGGAAUUACUGGGCGUAAAGCGCGCGUAGGCGGUUUGAUUAGCUGGAUGUGAAAGCCCCGGGCUCAACCUGGGAAUUGCAUCCAGAACUGUCAGACUAGAGUACAGUAGAGGUGAGUGGAAUUUCCUGUGUAGCGGUGAAAUGCGUAGAUAUAGGAAGGAACAUCAGUGGCGAAGGCGGCUCACUGGACUGAUACUGAC
RNAcentral lists this ribosomal RNA (720 nucleotides) under Porticoccus sp. RNAcentral's name for it is "bacterial SSU rRNA". It matches the Rfam family "Bacterial small subunit ribosomal RNA", at positions 28 to 744 of the family's 1533-position model. Lineage: Bacteria; Pseudomonadati; Pseudomonadota; Gammaproteobacteria; Cellvibrionales; Porticoccaceae. The record is from RNAcentral.